ACCACUUAGGCAUCAAUUUGGGAAGUAUAGUUUCAACUGCAGCGAUUAAUGCUUCAGAUGUUGGGGUUCAAUUGAAUGACGGAUCAAUACACAGAGUUUGGAUAUCUUACGAUGGGCGAAAGCGUUUUAUGGACAUUCGGCUUGCACCUGAAGAAAAAGGAUAUCCUUCUAAAUCAGUCUACUCAGGUUUACUUGAUCUUUCACCUUACUUGAAUGAAUACAUGUUUGUUGGAUUUUCAGCUGCUACUGGUAACCAUACACAAAUUCACAACAUCCUGUCGUGGAAUUUCACUUCAAUUAGUCAAGCUUCGCUUCGGGUUCCUUCAACAGAGACAUGCCAGAACAGAAUCAUGCUUCAAAAUGACACACAAUCUGAAAUUGCGCAUCGUAAAACGCCUAAUAGUUUCUUCAUUUUCCUUGCUGUGGUCAUUCUUCUGGUAGUUGUUCUUAUUAACCUCUAUUUCAGUAGCUACAAGAAAGAUGACGAUUUCGACGAAGCAAUGACCACUCUGCCCGAGAAAAAGCAGAGACCGCGGCCACCAAACAAGGCGCGUCGCUUCACAAUAGCUGAGGUCUCCAUCGCAACACGGAAUUUCAGUGAGUUGCAAAUAUUAGGCAGUGAUGAAAAGAGCGUUACGUAUAAGGCUACGAUGCUGAAUGGGUGCAACGUUGUUGUAAAACGAUUUUUAACUCAGUUUUUCAACACCCACGGGUUUGAAAAGCGUCAAUUUCAUAAAGAGAUCAAGGCCAUCAGCAAAAUUCGUCACCCGAAUUUGGUCCCUAUUAGAGGAUGGUGCUAUGACAACCAAGAAACUAUAGUUGUCUACGAUUUCAUCCCAAAUGGAAGCCUCGAUAAAUGGCUGUUUGGUGUUGGUGUCUUGCCUUGGACGAGGCGUUUUAAGGUGGUUAAAGAUUUAGCAGAUUCUCUUGCAUACCUUCAUUCAAAACAACUUGCUCACAAGAAUGUUAAAAGUAGCAGUGUUUUUCUUGACGUGAGCUUCAGAGCAGUAGUGGGUGAUUUCGGGUUUGUGCUCACUUCAACCGGGUCGACCCGGUUUGAGUCCAUGGUGAGUCAAACAGCUGACGUGUUCGAGUUUGGAGUAGCCGUGUUAGAGGUCAUUGCGGGUCGGAGCAGGAAGUCCAACCCAGGUGAACGAGACUUGUUAGAUCUUGCAUGGGCAAUGCAUGAGGUACAACAGAAGGAAACUCUAGUGGAUCGAAGAAUGGGCGCGGUCGUGAACCUGGAGCAGGCUAUUAGGGCUUUGGAUAUCGGGUUACUUUGUACACUAAACGAGAACAAAGGAAGGCCUACGAUGGAAGAAGUAGUCGAGUUCCUGAAUAUGGAGAAACCAAUACCCGAAUUACCACCAGGUAGACCUGUUUGUUUGUUCCCGUACAGCAGUACCACAGGCUUGUGCAGUGGGUACGCUUGUACAGCAUUCAAAUGAUGCAACGUGGUUUGGUCGAUCGACAUAAAGUAGCCAAUUGGUGCUUCGUAUUCCACGUAAGGGGAUAUUAUUCUGUCAGUUUGGGUACGAAAUUAUGACAGGGAUAAGCACAUGUAUAUGCUAUGUGACGUUAUUUUCAUGAUAUAGACACCUAUUGUCGGGUCUCUUGUAGGAGUUAAAUAUUACAAGAACUCCUAAGAAGAUUUAAAAUUAUUCUGGAUUCACAUGUGCUAUAUAUUCGUAUGUAAUCUCUAUUCCUGCAUAAUUUUGUAUAAGAUAAAAAAUGUAAUUAUGUAACUUUUUUAUUACUUUUUUCGUGUAUUGUUAUAUUAAUAUUUAAGUUAAGGUGUUGCAUAAAUUAAAAUGGAUGGAAUACCAUAUAACAUCGGCCAAAUCAGAGUAGGAUUUUUACUGUCUGGUUAUAAAAAAAACAUUUCUAUACACUUUGUACACGCACUGGUGAAUAAACAAAAAUAAACCUAGGUAUCUUGUAUAUUUUUUUAAUAUAUAAAUAUAUCUACUAAGCAACAUUUUAAAAAAUAAUAUCUUCUCAUUAUUGAUUGAGAAGACAAGCGAGGUGCGGUGCAAUUUUUUGCUGUUGAAUUUGGAUAUGGAUGUAAGAAUUAGGCGCAUAUUUGUUUUAGCUGUGUGAAUCAGCUGCGUUGUUUUGCUCUUCUCAGACCUUGGCUUUGACGAGACUGCAUGAGACAAACAAAUUCAAGAUUUAAAUCUUUCAAAUUUCACUUUUAAUAUGUUUGUGUUGAAUUUAUGAUAUUUUUAGAGUUACGAAUUUAUAUUUAUUAGUUUAUUGUAAUUUUUAAAUUUUUACAUAAUUAAUUUUCAGAUGAAUCUAUCCCGUAAUGUUUAUGAUUUAGUUUUGUAGUCCUUCAUGUAUGCUAAUUAGCAGCCGGUGAACAUGAGAGUUGUCUUUUACGUGUGCUUGAUUUGAGAUUAUGUUUUUAGUAUUAAAAGCCAAUUAGAGUUUGUUCAUGUUCUAGUGCAGUAAACGGCAAAUUCAUUUUGAGCUUUGUAUUGUAAAGAGAGCAAAGAUUGUUACUGAAAUAUAAUCGCAAUUUUUUUCUAGUUUGAGACAUGUCGUUGAUAAUACUGUCCUUAAUAAUAUUUUAUCUAAUAUUAAAACCCACUCUCUUUAUAAACUUACUAAAGACAUUUUUUUUAUAUCCUUCAUUUUAUUAAAAUAUUAUUAAAAGCAUCUCUUAUAUAAUCAAUCAUUAAGCACGGUGGAUUAAAAAUUAAUUCGGGUUAUGUUAAGAGUCCUACGUACACAAAUCCACAACUUAAGUUUCGCUUAUCACAAAAAAUCUCAUCUCUCCAAACAUAUUACAUAAAUCUCAUUUUUCUCUAAAAAUGCAUAUACAUAGCUUUCUAUGUAUAUGUCGGCCCUAUUAUGUACAUGUCGGCCUUGUCAUACUUGUUAUGCAUAUGAAUCGGCCUUGUUAUGUAUAUGCCGGCCUUGCCAUAUACAAAGGUUUCUAUGUAUACGUCGGCCUUGUUAUGUAUAUUAAUCGGGAGAGAGAGUAAAGUAAUUAAGAAAAUGGAAGAGAGUGUAAAUAAUUCUAAUAAGGUUGGGAUUUAUGUUAUUUUUACUUAAAAAAUAGGAUAGGGUACUUGGUCCAAGAAGCAAUUUCUCUAUUUUUCUUUAUUUAUUUUUACAUAGUAUCAAAGCUAGGCUCAUCCAAAUUCUUUGUUCACUAAUAUUGGACCCCCAUAUUAUUUUGUUCAUGCUCCAGUUAACAAGAUUUGAACGUGCGCGGGGAGUGUUAAGAGUCUCACAUCGAAAAAAGAAUAUGUAUUUGGUCUCCUUAUAUGAUCUUGGACAAUUCUCCCCUCGUGAGCUAAUUUUUAAGGUUGAGUUAGCUCAACAUUCAUUCUCUGUAAGCCUAAUAAUGGCAUGUGUGACGUCUACAAAGUUUACAAUCAAGAUUAAUGGUGAAGGGCAUGGCUAUUUUGAAGGGAAGAGAGGGUUGAGACAAGGCGAUCCAAUGUCACCACUUCUAUUUGUACUAGUGAUGGAGUAUUUAAGUAGGAGCCUUAGAUUCAUGAGUGAAGUACCUGACUUCACUUGAGUGAAGUACCUGAUUUCACUUUUCAUCCUAUGUGUAAGAGGGGGUUGAGACAAGGCGAUCCAAUGUCACCACUUCCAUUAUACUAGAGAUGAAGUAUUUAAGUAGAAGCCUUAGAUGCAUGAGUGAAGUACCUGACUUCACUUUUCAUCCUAUGUGUAAGGCUACAAAAUUAACCCACCUGGUGUUUGCUAAUGAUUUGAUGUUAUUUUGUAAAGAAGAUAUAGCCUCUAUUAAUAGGAUUAUGGAAGUACUUGCACAUUUGGGUGAAGUGUCUGGACUGGUGGCAAACAUGGACAAAUCAAAUGUCUUUUUGGUUGGUACUGAUGUGAGCAUAAAAUAGGGGAUUUUGGAUCGAACAGGAUUCUCACUAGGCACAUUGCCUAUGAGGUUUCUUGGUCUACCAUUAACCUCAAAGAAGUGGUCUAAAUUAAAGUGGAUUGUCACACCCUAAUUGAGAAGAUUGCUAAUAGGAUCAGGACAGGUUAUACAAAGCAAUUAUUCUAUGCUGGGAGGAUACAAAUUAUCACUUUAGUCUUCUUCUCUAUGUAUAACUUUUGGGGGGCAGUGUUUAUUCUCCCCUAAAGUGUACUCCAGGAGAUUGACAAGAGAUGUAGAGAAUUUCUUUGGGGAGCUUCAAAAGGUCAGAGAAAGAUGAAUUUAGUGUCUUGGAAAGAUAUUUGCACUCCAAAAAAGUGUGGUGGGCUGAAUAUUAAAGAAAGUAAAAAUUGGAAUAUUACAGGUGUAGGCAAACUCGUAUGGCAAUUGACAGUGAAAAAAGAUGUUUUAUGGGCAAAAUGGGUCCAUGGAUUGUAUAUGAAGAUUAGUAGGGACAUUUGGAGUCACACGCUACCUCAGAACUGUAGUUGGUAUUGGAGAAAAUUAAAUACUUUGAAAGUUGAGAUGACAAACUGGUAAUCAGAUUUACUGUGGAGUUCAGUCAUGCUUCCAAAGCAAAGAGUAAUCAUGUGGCUAGCAUACAAAAAUAGAUUGCUUACUAAAGAGAGAAUGAAAAAGUUGGAACAUAUAUGUAGAAAAUGAGAACUGCAGCCUCUGUUAUGCAGAUGUACCUGAAACUGUCGAGCAUCUUUUUGUUGAGCAUCAAUGGGUGUCUGAGGUGGGGAAUACACUGGCGUCUUGGGCUGGGAUUGUGUUUCGAAAACAAGCUGCCAGGCAAAGUCUACAAUAGAUAAAGGGUCGAAGGUGGAAGCAACUCAAGAAGGAGAUAGCGGCUGCAAUUUGUGGAGCUUUAACGUAUUACACUUGGCAGGCAAGGAACUGAAAACUUUUCAGGCAAAUAAAUGUAAAUAGGGAGUUUAUAAUUACACAAAUUCAGAAAGAGUUGAAGGAGAGAGUACAGAUGACUUACCAAUUCAAAGAAAGCUAGGAAAUGUCAGAGUUUACUUCAAAAAUUUCGCAUUAAAGCUGUAGAGGAACAGUGAGAUUUGUGUUUUGUUCUUGUGGUCUGGAUGCUCA
RNAcentral lists this long non-coding RNA (5008 nucleotides) under Capsicum annuum. RNAcentral's name for it is "long non-coding RNA (CANN_LNC004334)". Lineage: Eukaryota; Viridiplantae; Streptophyta; Magnoliopsida; Solanales; Solanaceae. The record is from RNAcentral.